GGUUAAGCGACUAAGCGUACACGGUGGAUGCCCUGGCAGUCAGAGGCGAUGAAGGACGUGCUAAUCUGCGAUAAGCGUCGGUAAGGUGAUAUGAACCGUUAUAACCGGCGAUUUCCGAAUGGGGAAACCCAGUGUGUUUCGACACACUAUCAUUAACUGAAUCCAUAGGUUAAUGAGGCGAACCGGGGGAACUGAAACAUCUAAGUACCCCGAGGAAAAGAAAUCAACCGAGAUUCCCCCAGUAGCGGCGAGCGAACGGGGAGCAGCCCAGAGCCUGAAUCAGUGUGUGUGUUAGUGGAAGCGUCUGGAAAGGCGCGCGAUACAGGGUGACAGCCCCGUACACAAAAAUGCACAUGCUGUGAGCUCGAUGAGUAGGGCGGGACACGUGGUAUCCUGUCUGAAUAUGGGGGACCAUCCUCCAAGGCUAAAUACUCCUGACUGACCGAUAGUGAACCAGUACCGUGAGGGAAAGGCGAAAAGAACCCCGGCGAGGGGAGUGAAAAAGAACCUGAAACCGUGUACGUACAAGCAGUGGGAGCACGCUUAGGCGUGUGACUGCGUACCUUUUGUAUAAUGGGUCAGCGACUUAUAUUCUGUAGCAAGGUUAACCGAAUAGGGGAGCCGAAGGGAAACCGAGUCUUAACUGGGCGUUAAGUUGCAGGGUAUAGACCCGAAACCCGGUGAUCUAGCCAUGGGCAGGUUGAAGGUUGGGUAACACUAACUGGAGGACCGAACCGACUAAUGUUGAAAAAUUAGCGGAUGACUUGUGGCUGGGGGUGAAAGGCCAAUCAAACCGGGAGAUAGCUGGUUCUCCCCGAAAGCUAUUUAGGUAGCGCCUCGUGAAUUCAUCUCCGGGGGUAGAGCACUGUUUCGGCAAGGGGGUCAUCCCGACUUACCAACCCGAUGCAAACUGCGAAUACCGGAGAAUGUUAUCACGGGAGACACACGGCGGGUGCUAACGUCCGUCGUGAAGAGGGAAACAACCCAGACCGCCAGCUAAGGUCCCAAAGUCAUGGUUAAGUGGGAAACGAUGUGGGAAGGCCCAGACAGCCAGGAUGUUGGCUUAGAAGCAGCCAUCAUUUAAAGAAAGCGUAAUAGCUCACUGGUCGAGUCGGCCUGCGCGGAAGAUGUAACGGGGCUAAACCAUGCACCGAAGCUGCGGCAGCGACACUAUGUGUUGUUGGGUAGGGGAGCGUUCUGUAAGCCUGUGAAGGUGUGCUGUGAGGCAUGCUGGAGGUAUCAGAAGUGCGAAUGCUGACAUAAGUAACGAUAAAGCGGGUGAAAAGCCCGCUCGCCGGAAGACCAAGGGUUCCUGUCCAACGUUAAUCGGGGCAGGGUGAGUCGACCCCUAAGGCGAGGCCGAAAGGCGUAGUCGAUGGGAAACAGGUUAAUAUUCCUGUACUUGGUGUUACUGCGAAGGGGGGACGGAGAAGGCUAUGUUGGCCGGGCGACGGUUGUCCCGGUUUAAGCGUGUAGGCUGGUUUUCCAGGCAAAUCCGGAAAAUCAAGGCUGAGGCGUGAUGACGAGGCACUACGGUGCUGAAGCAACAAAUGCCCUGCUUCCAGGAAAAGCCUCUAAGCAUCAGGUAACAUCAAAUCGUACCCCAAACCGACACAGGUGGUCAGGUAGAGAAUACCAAGGCGCUUGAGAGAACUCGGGUGAAGGAACUAGGCAAAAUGGUGCCGUAACUUCGGGAGAAGGCACGCUGAUAUGUAGGUGAGGUCCCUCGCGGAUGGAGCUGAAAUCAGUCGAAGAUACCAGCUGGCUGCAACUGUUUAUUAAAAACACAGCACUGUGCAAACACGAAAGUGGACGUAUACGGUGUGACGCCUGCCCGGUGCCGGAAGGUUAAUUGAUGGGGUUAGCGCAAGCGAAGCUCUUGAUCGAAGCCCCGGUAAACGGCGGCCGUAACUAUAACGGUCCUAAGGUAGCGAAAUUCCUUGUCGGGUAAGUUCCGACCUGCACGAAUGGCGUAAUGAUGGCCAGGCUGUCUCCACCCGAGACUCAGUGAAAUUGAACUCGCUGUGAAGAUGCAGUGUACCCGCGGCAAGACGGAAAGACCCCGUGAACCUUUACUAUAGCUUGACACUGAACAUUGAGCCUUGAUGUGUAGGAUAGGUGGGAGGCUUAGAAGUGUGGACGCCAGUCUGCAUGGAGCCGACCUUGAAAUACCACCCUUUAAUGUUUGAUGUUCUAACGUUGACCCGUAAUCCGGGUUGCGGACAGUGUCUGGUGGGUAGUUUGACUGGGGCGGUCUCCUCCUAAAGAGUAACGGAGGAGCACGAAGGUUGGCUAAUCCUGGUCGGACAUCAGGAGGUUAGUGCAAUGGCAUAAGCCAGCUUGACUGCGAGCGUGACGGCGCGAGCAGGUGCGAAAGCAGGUCAUAGUGAUCCGGUGGUUCUGAAUGGAAGGGCCAUCGCUCAACGGAUAAAAGGUACUCCGGGGAUAACAGGCUGAUACCGCCCAAGAGUUCAUAUCGACGGCGGUGUUUGGCACCUCGAUGUCGGCUCAUCACAUCCUGGGGCUGAAGUAGGUCCCAAGGGUAUGGCUGUUCGCCAUUUAAAGUGGUACGCGAGCUGGGUUUAGAACGUCGUGAGACAGUUCGGUCCCUAUCUGCCGUGGGCGCUGGAGAACUGAGGGGGGCUGCUCCUAGUACGAGAGGACCGGAGUGGACGCAUCACUGGUGUUCGGGUUGUCAUGCCAAUGGCACUGCCCGGUAGCUAAAUGCGGAAGAGAUAAGUGCUGAAAGCAUCUAAGCACGAAACUUGCCCCGAGAUGAGUUCUCCCUGACCCUUUAAGGGUCCUGAAGGAACGUUGAAGACGACGACGUUGAUAGGCCGGGUGUGUAAGCGCAGCGAUGCGUUGAGCUAACCGGUACUAAUGAACCGUGAGGCUUAACCUU
This 2902-nucleotide ribosomal RNA is filed under the name Escherichia coli. RNAcentral's name for it is "23S ribosomal RNA". It matches the Rfam family "Bacterial large subunit ribosomal RNA". The record is from RNAcentral. Lineage: Bacteria; Pseudomonadati; Pseudomonadota; Gammaproteobacteria; Enterobacterales; Enterobacteriaceae.